GGGGAUAUAGCUCAGUUGGUAGAGUGCUUGCUUUGCAUGCACAAGGCCCUGGGUUCAAUCCCCAGUACCACAA
This 73-nucleotide transfer RNA is filed under the name Ictidomys tridecemlineatus (thirteen-lined ground squirrel). RNAcentral describes it as "Spermophilus tridecemlineatus (thirteen-lined ground squirrel) tRNA". It matches the Rfam family "tRNA". From Rfam's summary of the family: Transfer RNA (tRNA) molecules are approximately 80 nucleotides in length. Lineage: Eukaryota; Metazoa; Chordata; Mammalia; Rodentia; Sciuridae. The record is from Rfam by way of RNAcentral.